GAUGAACGCUGGCGGCGUGCCUAAUUCAUGCAAGUCGAGCGAACGGACGAGAAGCUUGCUUCUCUGAUGUUAGCGGCGGACGGGUGAGUAACACGUGGAUAACCUACCUAUAAGACUGGGAUAACUUCGGGAAACCGGAGCUAAUACCGGAUGAUAUUUUGAACCGCAUGGUUCAAAAGUGAAAGACGGUCUUGCUGUCACUUAUAGAUGGAUCCGCGCUGCAUUAGCUAGUUGGUAAGGUAACGGCUUACCAAGGCAACGAUGCAUAGCCGACCUGAGAGGGUGAUCGGCCACACUGGAACUGAGACACGGUCCAGACUCCUACGGGAGGCAGCAGUAGGGAAUCUUCCGCAAUGGGCGAAAGCCUGACGGAGCAACGCCGCGUGAGUGAUGAAGGUCUUCGGAUCGUAAAACUCUGUUAUUAGGGAAGAACAUAUGUGUAAGUAACUGUGCACAUCUUGACGGUACCUAAUCAGAAAGCCAUGGCUAACUACGUG
RNAcentral lists this ribosomal RNA (497 nucleotides) under uncultured bacterium. RNAcentral describes it as "partial 16S ribosomal RNA". It matches the Rfam family "Bacterial small subunit ribosomal RNA", at positions 28 to 507 of the family's 1533-position model. The record is from RNAcentral.